CCGACGGGUGGAAGAACAACGUAUACCCAACCUGCCGUCUACUUUUGGACAGCCUUUCAAAAGGGAAAGAUUAAUACAAGAUGGCAUCAUGAGUCACAUGUUCACAUGAUUAAAGGUAUUCCGGUAGACGAUGGGGAUGCGUUCCAUUAGAUAGUAGGCGGGGUAACGGCCCACCUAGUCUUCGAUGGAUAGGGGUUCUGAGAGGAAGGUCCCCCACAUUGGAACUGAGACACGGUCCAA
This 240-nucleotide ribosomal RNA is filed under the name uncultured bacterium. Its description in RNAcentral is "partial 16S ribosomal RNA". It matches the Rfam family "Bacterial small subunit ribosomal RNA", at positions 102 to 334 of the family's 1533-position model. The record is from RNAcentral.